CGCAGAUGUCAGGUGUCCUGUAGCCAUGGGUUACAUGGCUGGUGCUCAGUUUUUGGCUGGAGACCUGUUUGUUACAAAGCAGGGACCUGCUCUCUGGUACAAAGACAGUGUCUCACUAUGUAAUCCAGGCUGGCCUUGAACUUGUGGUGAUCCUCCUGCCUCAGCCUCUCAAGUUCUAGGAUUAUAGGUGUGCUCCACCACACCUGGUCCAAGUUGAGUUUUAUCCCAGGAAUAAAAGGAUGAUUUUACA
This 250-nucleotide long non-coding RNA is filed under the name Chinchilla lanigera (long-tailed chinchilla). RNAcentral's name for it is "lncRNA (ENSCLAG00000025659.1)". The record is from RNAcentral. Lineage: Eukaryota; Metazoa; Chordata; Mammalia; Rodentia; Chinchillidae.